AACAAGGACCAGUUUAUACAAAUAACAAUAGAAAAUAAUAAAAUUGUUUUACAACAUUAAAUUUGCACCUGUAUCAUGUUCAUUCAUUGAUUUCAAUAUGAUGAUGCAGAGGAAGAAAAUUGAAGUUCUCAUGCUUCAAUAUAUUAAUUGACAGCACUUCUACUCUAGUUUUGCAAGGUGCAAAUGUCAGUCAAAAGUCCAUACGAUUAGCAUGGUUUAAAAUAUGAAAGGACCCAAGACUUGUUCUUGUAUACACAUAAAGCUAUUCAAAUUAAAACAUCAAUUUUCAAUUAUUAGAGAAAUAAUUAUUAGAGAAGUUUCUGCAUGCACAAGAGUAACAAUUCACACCAUGAGUUAAGUAAGACAAAGGUAAGCAUCAAGUUGCAGGUGGACCACAUGUAGGAUUUCAGCAGACAUUUGAAUCUACUGUCAUCUAGCAGAAAAUUCAAAACCAUCAAAACAAAUACCACUUGUGCUAAUGUGUUUUGCUACCCAUAACCAACCAUGUUUAUAUUUUGUGAUUGUUUGGUCCAAGGAACACCAUGUAAAAUAUUUUUCCAAUUCUGCAAUGAAUUUGUCGAGUUCGUGUUCAAGGAUCUCAAGGGCAUAUUUGGAUAGAGCACUUUUUACUACAAUAGAAACUGCCUUGUGACAUAUGUGACUAAGAACAUGGAGAUAUUUGGCCACAGCCAGCAAAGAAACCGAUGUAGUCUCCAGAGAUGAUGCUAUGUGCCUGAGAAGUGUUAUCCAUGACAUGACCUUCCCUCUGUGGGUGGGGGCAGCCUGUUGUAUUGCUCUUUGGUGUUCGUCAUCAUUUCUCUAGAUGAACAAGAACUUGGAGAUAUUUGGCCUCACCCUCACCGUGCUUGGUCUCUUCCUCUCUGCCUAGCAUUUGUCCGAUUACUCACGGUUAGGUAUUUUUUAUUUGAGCUAAUUGAGCGUUGUUGCAUGUUUGGGCAUGACACUGACGCUACAAGAUAUUGUGAUGUGUCUGUUAUUGUGGAGAUAUCAAAUUUAAACAAAGUCAAAGAGAGUUAUACAGAGGACUUACUUCUGGUGAUUUGCCUGCAUAAACUCCUGAUAAUUUUAGUUAUCUUUUGCUAGUACACACAAUGAUGCCUUUUAGAUGUUUAUGCUGCUGAUAAAAGGAAGAUAAACAAUAUUCUUUUGAUCUAUGAUUAUUAAUUUGUUUCAACGAAAGCUUCUGACUUUAGUUUUUCUUGCCCUUUUUUUUGUAAAUUUUAGAAUCCUAAAAGAAAGGUACACAAGCCUGUUAAAAAAGGUGCAUUGAAUUGGAGGUUGACAAGCUUCAUACUUCACUCGUUGAUGUGGGCAAUCUCUGAUCGUGGAAGCAUAAUCGUUGACUCAAAUGAUGAUGGAAUGUGUCAAUUCCAGUUGGAGAACAUCAUCCUGAUUUUAGUGACCAUGCUGAGUUUCCAAAGGAACAAGGUCAAACUCUUGAAAAGUAUGCUCACACAAAUUGCAGUUGGAGCUAGAAUGGCUUGCUACCAUGAUGAAGUUAAACUUUGCCUUCUUUCUAUUUUGACACCCCAAUACCAUCUCUUGUUUAUCUUUUUUUCGUGUCAAACUUCUGAUGAAA
Zingiber officinale is the source of this 1600-nucleotide long non-coding RNA. RefSeq lists it as uncharacterized. NCBI's taxonomy places the organism in Eukaryota, Viridiplantae, Streptophyta, Magnoliopsida, Zingiberales, Zingiberaceae. The record is from RefSeq and is a predicted model, not a curated record. The transcript is spliced from 3 exons.